RNAcentral lists this ribosomal RNA (253 nucleotides) under uncultured bacterium. RNAcentral describes it as "partial 16S ribosomal RNA". It matches the Rfam family "Bacterial small subunit ribosomal RNA", at positions 524 to 776 of the family's 1533-position model. The record is from RNAcentral.
UACGUAUGGAGCAAGCGUUAUCCGGAAUUACUGGGUGUAAAGGGAGCGUAGACGGCAGGGCAAGUCUGAUGUGAAAGGUCGGGGCCCAACCCCGGGACUGCAUUGGAAACUGUCCGGCUGGAGUACAGGAGAGGUAAGUGGAAUUCCUAGUGUAGCGGUGAAAUGCGUAGAUAUUAGGAGGAACACCAGUGGCGAAGGCGGCCUACUGGACGGUGACUGACGCUGAGGCUCGAAAGCGUGGGGAGCAAACAGG